RNAcentral lists this ribosomal RNA (465 nucleotides) under uncultured bacterium. RNAcentral describes it as "partial 16S ribosomal RNA". It matches the Rfam family "Bacterial small subunit ribosomal RNA", at positions 338 to 795 of the family's 1533-position model. The record is from RNAcentral.
CCUACGGGAGGCAGCAGUGGGGAAUAUUGCGCAAUGGGCGAAAGCCUGACGCAGCGACGCCGCGUGAGGGAUGAAGGUCUUCGGAUCGUAAACCUCUGUCAGCAGGGAAGAACGGUCACUGUGCUAAUCAGCAGUGAAUUGACGGUACCUGCAAAGGAAGCACCGGCUAACUCCGUGCCCGCAGCCGCGGUAAUACGGAGGGUGCGAGCGUUAAUCGGAAUUACUGGGCGUAAAGCGCUCGUAGGCGGUAUGUCAAGUCAAGGGUGAAAUCCCCGCGCUCAACGUGGGAACUGCCUUUGAAACUGGCAAAAUGGAGUGUAUUAGAGGUUGGUGGAAUUCGAGGUGUAGGGGUGAAAUCCGUAGAUAUCUGGAGGAACAUCGGUGGCGAAGGCGACUAUCUGGCACAUAACUGACGCUGAGGAGCGAAAGCGUGGGUAGCAAACAGGAUUAGAUACCCCUGUAGUC